UCCUUUUUCAGGAUGUGGCCUGAGUAUGUUAAAGAUAGGAUAAGGACAACAUACAUGUACUUCAGAGGUUCCAUAAUGUUGACAGCUGCUUCAGCAAUGCUUGUUUUCGCAGUCCUCUAAUUAUGAAGGCAGUAAUGGGAAACUCUUGGGUGGUCAUUUUGGGCAGCAUUGCUGCAAUGAUUGGUACAGGAAUGAUAGUUCGCAGUAUACUGUACCAACCAGGGGUUGGGUCGAAGCAAGCUGCUUGGGCCCUCCAUUCGGCUGUUAUAGGCGCCGUUGUUGCCCCAUUAUGUUUUCUAGGUGGCCCAUUGUUUCUCCGAGCUGCAGUGUAAAAAAUUCCUUAUGACAUUCAGUAUCACUAUCGUACAACCAACCAUGACGGUAUUUUCAAUAUUUUAAAGAAUUAGCUUAUACCGAGCAAAAAUAAAGAAUUCUUUGCUAUUUUAAAACUACUGCAACUAGUGAGAACUUACGCUUAAAACAACUUUUUUUUAAUGCAAAAUAUGUUAUUCGAAGUGUGCAACUUGACAAUUAUGCUAAUACGAGAAAGCGUUUAUUCCACGGCAGAAUAGGAUCGACCACAAUAUUGAUUGCUAGUUAAAUUUUUUCAUCGGUAAGCAAAGGCUUUUGAUCUACCACUACAUGGUUCCAUGGCUGUUCUUCUCCAGAUGCGAAAACUGUGUAAACGACGAACUCGAGGACAAAAACCGCAGCCGUUGUGAAAAAAAUGAUUUGCCAUUGACCAAGUGUUUGCUAGAAGAAAAAACAAAUCUUUAUCUGUUGGCAAGCAAUCAGCAUUUGAAAAAUUUUCUCACAUUUCCGUGCGUUAGGUGGCCGACAAACGCGGGAACGAUGAAACCAGGAAUCGUAGCUGCCGUGUUAGUGAAAGCCAUAAGAGUUCCUGCAUAAUUCGGCGCGAUAUCAACGUGGUUGGUGAGGAAGCCACAAUACAUUCCGGCGACAAACAUCGUUCCGACAGUCAUCAACGCCACGGCGGCUUGGCGAUCGCAUCCCACCAAACUGACUCCGACAAAACAAGCGGCGGGGAAUAAGGAUGCUGUUUCAGGAUUUCAAAUCGGCUAAGCGCGUUCGUUGGGACACAUACCAAUGGCUGUAGACAGUUUGCGCACAGUCGUCGUCGUGAUCCAUCCUUUGCUCUUUGCCCAAUCUAAACGAUUACUCCAUAUAAUGCUGAAUACCCAUAGACACACGUACGGGAUGGCAGAUAAUCCAGCGUUCUGUUGCAGGAUGUUCGUGAUGUUUGUGUCCUGCAUGCCAUCCGUGCCAUCCGUGAAAUCCGUGCCAUCCAUGGAACCCGUGCCAAUGGUGUCCCUGGUGACUAUUUCUUCUUUUCUGCGCAUUCGGCUUGUCUGGAAUAACGGGAGUCAUGACAACAACAGACCCCUCUGUGAUGUUGUGAUCUUCUAAUUGCGCUGCUUCCUUAGAUGCUUCAUGACUUUCGUGGUCAUCGUGAUGCAUGGACGUUUCAAAAAGCUCCAACUCCACCGGAUGGAUACGCGGAUGAUCUUCCGGUGAGUCGAAGACAAAAAUUAGCCAUAAAACGCACCAGAUCAUAGAGAGACCUCCUUGAACGUAAAACACUGCUUCCCAACCGAGUGCAGCGGCUAAAAUACCGGAAAAUGGCAACGAGAUGACUGUACCUAGCGCCAUGCCUGUCGGUUUAAAGUUGCGUAAUCAAUUUUAACAGCAAACUCUAUGGGAAAAUAUGCAGCAAAACAACAUCUACCAGCAUAAGCUAACGACGACAUCAGGUUGCGCUCUUGCGGCAAAACCCAUUUUGUCAACAUAACGUGAAUGGCUGGUAGAGAAACACCCUAUUUCCAAAGGAAACGAUUAACAGUCAAAACAAACAUAGCCUACGCACCCAGUCCUUCAAUGAAACGAACAACGAGCACAGCGAUGUAACUGAUGUUGGCAGCCAACGGUGUUAAAAUGGUGAAAACAACAUUGACGAGAACAGAUGCCCAGAUGACCCACUUGGCCGAGUACUUUUCCGCUAUCAUUCCACCCGGAAUCUGAGUCAGAAGGUAACCCCAAAAGUAGGAGCUUAACACCAAACCCUGAACAGGCUCGGGCCACGCGAAUGGUCCAUCCUAUGAGUGACAAUACCAGGAGAUUAGUCAAUGACUAUAUGGUGAUUGUAUAAACAAAAAUUUGCAAUUCAUUAAUUGAUUUGAAUUCUGUCAUACCUGUAUGGUGUCAGUUGCAUUGGAAUGGGACACCGGAGCUGCGCAAGCAAACUCCGGUGGAGCCGUUCCGUUUUCGUUGGCGUUCCCAUGAUGCCCACCGUGAGAGGCUUCUGACAACGCCAUAGACGCAAGCUCCGUUGAAUUGAUCUUUCCAAUGAGGGUUGGACAGAGAAGCAUAUCAUUAAUAGUUAAAAGGCCGGUUGAAAACGUGAUUUCGAAUUAUUCUUACCAUGACGACAAUCGCCACGCUUAGGUUCACCUGGUGUAUUUCGUUAAGGGAUUCCCCAUGAAAAACAAAAGAAACACAAUGUAUAUUAUAGCAUCGUCAUCCUGUUUCAUGAGAUUGACAAAAAUAUAUGUUAAUGGAGUCGUA
This is a long non-coding RNA of Daphnia magna, 2583 nucleotides long. RefSeq lists it as uncharacterized. The transcript has 6 exons. NCBI's taxonomy places the organism in Eukaryota, Metazoa, Arthropoda, Branchiopoda, Diplostraca, Daphniidae. The record is from RefSeq and is a predicted model, not a curated record.